UAUCCGUGGGUUCACUGCAUCACGCACAAAUCUUUCGCCUUUUACUAAAGAUUUCCGUGCAGAGAAUCAAUAAGAUCGGAAUUUAACAAUUUAUUUCUGCCUUGUAUUUGACGAGGCU
Molecule: small nuclear RNA, 118 nt
Filed under: Lytechinus variegatus (green sea urchin)
Lineage: Eukaryota; Metazoa; Echinodermata; Echinoidea; Temnopleuroida; Toxopneustidae
Description: U5 spliceosomal RNA
Rfam family: U5 spliceosomal RNA
About the family: U5 RNA is a component of both types of known spliceosome.
Source: RNAcentral